GUGCAAUGCAGUGCAGGGCUGCAUGUCCCAGUGCCAGUGCAGUGCAGUGCUGCAUGGCCCAGGGUCGCUGCUGCAUUGUGCAGUGCUGCAUGUCCAGGUGUCAGUGCUUUGCAGUGCUGCAUGUCCCGGGGUCAGAGUUGUGCAGUGCAGUGCUGCGUGUCCAGGUGUCACUGCUGCAUGGUGCAGCGCUGCAUGGUGUGGUAUCGGAGCUGUGCACUGCAGUUGUGCAUGGCCCGGGGUCGCCGCUGCAUUGUGCAGUGCUGCACAUCCAGGUGUCAGUGCUCUGCAGUGCUGCAUGGCUUGGGGGCACCGCUGCACUGGCAUGCAGCGUUGUGCAGUGCUGCAUGUCCCAGUGCUGCAGCUGCACCGUGCAGUGCUGCAUGUCCCACUGUCAGUGCAGUGCAGUGCUGCGUGUCCUGGUGUCACUGCUGCAUUGUGCAGUGCUGCAUGUCCAGGUGUCAUUGCUUUGCAGUGCUGCAUGGCUUGGGGGCACCGCUGCGCUGGCAUGCAGCGUUGUGCAGUGCUGCGUGUCCCAGGGUCAGAGUUGUGCAGUGCAGUGCUGCGUGUCCAGGUGUCACUGCUGCAUGGUGCAGCGCUGCAUGUCGUGGUAUCGGAGCUGUGCACUGCAGUUGUGCAUGGCCCGGGGUCGCCGCUGCAUUGUGCAGUGCUGCAUGUCCAGGUGUCAGUGCUUUGCAGCGCUGCAUGGCCUGGGGGCACCGCUGCGCUGCCAUGCAGCGUUGUGCAGUGCUGCAUGUCCCAGUGUCUGUGCUUUGCGGUGCAGUGCCGUGCAGUGCUGCAUGUCCCAGUGUCUGUGCUUUGCAGUGCUGCAUGGCCCCGGGUUGCCGCUGCACUGUGCAGUGCUGCAUGUCCCAGUGCCAGCACUUUGCAGUGCAGUGCAGGGCUGCAUGUCCCAGUGCCAGUGCAGU
This 926-nucleotide long non-coding RNA is filed under the name Numida meleagris (helmeted guineafowl). RNAcentral's name for it is "lncRNA (ENSNMEG00000006538.1)". Lineage: Eukaryota; Metazoa; Chordata; Aves; Galliformes; Numididae. The record is from RNAcentral.